UGCAAGUCGAACGGUGAAGCGAGAGCUUGCUCUCGUGGAUCAGUGGCGAACGGGUGAGUAACACGUGAGUAACCUGCCCCAGACUCUGGGAUAAGCCUUGGAAACGAGGUCUAAUACCGGAUACGAGACGAGAUCGCAUGGUCAUCGUCUGGAAAGAAUUUCGGUCUGGGAUGGACUCGCGGCCUAUCAGCUUGUUGGUGAGGUAAUGGCUCACCAAGGCGACGACGGGUAGCCGGCCUGAGAGGGCGACCGGCCACACUGGAACUGAGACACGGUCCAGACUCCUACGGGAGGCAGCAGUGGGGAAUAUUGCACAAUGGGCGCAAGCCUGAUGCAGCGACGCCGCGUGGGGGAUGAAGGCCUUCGGGUUGUAAACCCCUUUCAGCAGGGAAGAAGCGAAAGUGACGGUACCUGCAGAAGAAGCGCCGGCUAACUACGUGCCAGCAGCCGCGGUAAUACGUAGGGCGCAAGCGUUGUCCGGAAUUAUUGGGCGUAAAGAGCUCGUAGGCGGUCUGUCGCGUCUGCUGUGAAAACCCGAGGCUCAACCUCGGGCCUGCAGUGGGUACGGGCAGACUAGAGUGUGGUAGGGGAGACUGGAAUUCCUGGUGUAGCGGUGGAAUGCGCAGAUAUCAGGAGGAACACCAAUGGCGAAGGCAGGUCUCUGGGCCACUACUGACGCUGAGGAGCGAAAGCAUGGGGAGCGAACAGGAUUAGAUACCCUGGUAGUCCAUGCCGUAAACGGUGGGCACUAGAUGUGGGGCUCUUUCCAUGAGUUCCGCGUCGCAGCUAACGCAUUAAGUGCCCCGCCUGGGGAGUACGGCCGCAAGGCUAAAACUCAAAGGAAUUGACGGGGGCCCGCACAAGCGGCGGAGCAUGCGGAUUAAUUCGAUGCAACGCGAAGAACCUUACCAAGGCUUGACAUAUACCC
This 928-nucleotide ribosomal RNA is filed under the name Demequina sp. BR-28. Its description in RNAcentral is "bacterial SSU rRNA". It matches the Rfam family "Bacterial small subunit ribosomal RNA", at positions 56 to 993 of the family's 1533-position model. Lineage: Bacteria; Bacillati; Actinomycetota; Actinomycetes; Micrococcales; Demequinaceae. The record is from RNAcentral.